This 506-nucleotide ribosomal RNA is filed under the name uncultured bacterium. Its description in RNAcentral is "partial 16S ribosomal RNA". It matches the Rfam family "Bacterial small subunit ribosomal RNA", at positions 28 to 523 of the family's 1533-position model. The record is from RNAcentral.
GAUGAACGCUAGCUACAGGCUUAACACAUGCAAGUCGAGGGGUAACGAGAGGGAAGCUUGCUUUCCUUGUCGACGACCGGCGCACGGGUGAGUAACGCGUAUCCAACCUGCCCCCAACUAAGGAAUAACCUUGCGAAAGUAAGACUAAUACCUUAUAAUUUCCUCAGAUGACAUCUGACGAGGAAUAAAGAUUUAUCGGUUGUGGAUGGGGAUGCGUCUGAUUAGCUUGUUGGCGGGGUAACGGCCCACCAAGGCAACGAUCAGUAGGGGUUCUGAGAGGAAGGUCCCCCACAUUGGAACUGAGACACGGUCCAAACUCCUACGGGAGGCAGCAGUGAGGAAUAUUGGUCAAUGGGCGGAAGCCUGAACCAGCCAAGUAGCGUGCAGGAUGACGGCCCUAUGGGUUGUAAACUGCUUUUAUACAGGAAUAAAGUUAGCCACGUGUGGUUAUUUGUAGGUACUGUAUGAAUAAGGACCGGCUAAUUCCGUGCCAGCCGCCGCGGUAA